RNAcentral lists this ribosomal RNA (119 nucleotides) under Pteropus alecto (black flying fox). Lineage: Eukaryota; Metazoa; Chordata; Mammalia; Chiroptera; Pteropodidae. The record is from RNAcentral.
GUCUAUAGCCAUGACACCUUGAAUGCGCCCAAUCAUGUCUGAUCUUGGAAGCUAAGCAGGGUUGGGCCUGGUUAGUAUUUGAAUGGGAGACCACCUAAGAAUACCAGGUGCUGUAGGCG